RNAcentral lists this ribosomal RNA (482 nucleotides) under uncultured bacterium. Its description in RNAcentral is "partial 16S ribosomal RNA". It matches the Rfam family "Bacterial small subunit ribosomal RNA", at positions 30 to 507 of the family's 1533-position model. The record is from RNAcentral.
AUUGAACGCUGGCGGCAUGCCUUACACAUGCAAGUCGAACGGUAACAGGUCUUCGGAUGCUGACGAGUGGCGAACGGGUGAGUAAUACAUCGGAACGUGCCCGAUCGUGGGGGAUAACGGAGCGAAAGCUUUGCUAAUACCGCAUACGAUCUACGGAUGAAAGCAGGGGACCGCAAGGCCUUGCGCGGACGGAGCGGCCGAUGGCAGAUUAGGUAGUUGGUGGGAUAAAAGCUUACCAAGCCGACGAUCUGUGGCUGGUCUGAGAGGACGACCAGCCACACUGGGACUGAGACACGGCCCAGACUCCUACGGGAGGCAGCAGUGGGGAAUUUUGGACAAUGGGCGAAAGCCUGAUCCAGCCAUGCCGCGUGCAGGAUGAAGGCCUUCGGGUUGUAAACUGCUUUUGUACGGAACGAAAAGACUCUUUCUAAUAAAGAGGGUCCAUGACGGUACCGUAAGAAUAAGCACCGGCUAACUACGUG